Molecule: long non-coding RNA, 865 nt
Organism: Brassica rapa (field mustard)
Lineage: Eukaryota; Viridiplantae; Streptophyta; Magnoliopsida; Brassicales; Brassicaceae
Source: RefSeq, a predicted model, not a curated record
AAAGAUCACCAAUCAAUCAAUAUCUCAUGAUUUACUUACAUAUGGGGUUUCAUGUAAGUUCCAAGAAAACAAGGGUCCGUUUUUCAUUUAAGUGAAAGGUUUGGGCAGUUAUUGCAAAUUAUCUAUUUUAAAUGUAUUUCUUCUUCCGUGUGACUUUUUUUUUUUUAAUUCCACCCAGUCUCUCUCUAUCUCACUGGUCCCUCAAGUCCCCCACCUUCCUCCUUCAACACGCUUUCUCUCUCUAAAACCCCUUUCUUCACUCUAAAGUUCCAAACUUUCCUUCUGGUUUUCUCAUAUUAGGGCUUUUCUCAGCUCACAGCGGCAGUAUGGUAUGUUGAAUCACUCUCUCUGUCUUUACCUGACCUCGUCUGCUCUGCUUUCGUUGUGUGGAUAAUCAUCAAUGUAUUAACUUUUUUUUUGUUUGCUGGAACCCUUUUAAUUGUACAGGUUACUCAGGAUGCACCUUCCCUACUAGUGCCAGUGGCUCCGGUGGCAGCACCACUGUGACACCAGGCACAACCAAUCCAAAAGGCGGCAGCACCACACUUCCUGGUGGCAAUGGCAACAGUCCUUUUUCAGGAACCUCCUCAACCAAUGGAGUUUUUGGAAACAAUAGCACUGGGAUUAACCCGGACUACACGACAGAGAGCAGCGCGUUUGCUCUCAGGAACUCAAGCACAUUUCUCACCUACCUUCUCUUGAUCGCUUUGAGUGGAUUCUGUUCUUUCAUGAUGCUCUAAGAAUGUUAACUUUCUCUGGUUUUGUUGGUGAACUUAUUGUCUCAAAGGACAUUGAGUCUAGCUUAGUGGUAAUCGCUGUCUGGCUGUUUUGAGUCUCUCUAGCUAUGUUAUGUUCUUGUUGUAAG